GAUAAACGCUGGCGGCGUGCCUAACACAUGCAAGUCGAACGAUCCCGCAAGGGAGAGUGGCGGAAGGGUGAGUAACACGUGGGAAUCUACCUCCUCGCAGGGAACAACCUCUCGAAAGAGAGGCUAAUACCCAAAAGGGUCAGAAAUGAUCAGAGUCGAAAGGCGUGAGGAGGGGAGCCCGCGGUCCAUCAGCUAGUUGGUGAGGUAACGGCUUACCAAGGCUACGACGGGUAGGGGAUCUGAGAGGAUGUCCCCCACACUGGAACUGAAACACGGUCCAGACGCCUACGGGUGGCAGCAGUGAGGAAUAUUGGACAAUGGGCGAAAGCCCGAUCCAGCAACGCCGCGUGGAGGAUGAAAGGCCUUCGGGUCGUAAACUUCUUUAGAGGGAGACGAGAAAGGCGGUAUCCCUAGAAUAAGCGAC
RNAcentral lists this ribosomal RNA (424 nucleotides) under uncultured bacterium. RNAcentral's name for it is "bacterial SSU rRNA". It matches the Rfam family "Bacterial small subunit ribosomal RNA", at positions 28 to 494 of the family's 1533-position model. The record is from RNAcentral.